RNAcentral lists this ribosomal RNA (497 nucleotides) under uncultured bacterium. Its description in RNAcentral is "partial 16S ribosomal RNA". It matches the Rfam family "Bacterial small subunit ribosomal RNA", at positions 28 to 507 of the family's 1533-position model. The record is from RNAcentral.
GAUGAACGCUGGCGGCGUGCCUAAUACAUGCAAGUCGAGCGAACAGAUGAGGAGCUUGCUCCUCUGACGUUAGCGGCGGACGGGUGAGUAACACGUGGAUAACCUACCUAUAAGACUGGGAUAACUUCGGGAAACCGGAGCUAAUACCGGAUAAUAUAUUGAACCGCAUGGUUCAAUAGUGAAAGACGGUUUUGCUGUCACUUAUAGAUGGAUCCGCGCCGCAUUAGCUAGUUGGUAAGGUAACGGCUUACCAAGGCAACGAUGCGUAGCCGACCUGAGAGGGUGAUCGGCCACACUGGAACUGAGACACGGUCCAGACUCCUACGGGAGGCAGCAGUAGGGAAUCUUCCGCAAAGGGCGAAAGCCUGACGGAGCAACGCCGCGUGAGUGAUGAAGGUCUUCAGAUCGUAAAACUCUGUUAUUGGGGAAGAACAAAUGUGUAAGUAACUAUGCACGUCUUGACGGUACCUAAUCAGAAAGCCACGGCUAACUACGUG